ACGGGGAAUUAGGGUUCGAUUCCGGAGAGGGAGCCUGAGAAACGGCUACCACAUCUAAGGAAGGCAGCAGGCGCGCAAAUUACCCAAUGAAAACAGUUUCGAGGUAGUGACGAGAAAUAACAAUACAGGGCAUUUUAUGCUCUGUAAUUGGAAUGAUGGGAAUGUAAAACCCUUCCAGAGUAACAAUUGGAGGGCAAGUCUGGUGCCAGCAGCCGCGGUAAUUCCAGCUCCAAUAGUGUAUAUUAGAGUUGUUGCAGUUAAAAAGCUCGUAGUUGGAUUUCUGCUGUGGUCAUCCGGUACCGCCCGUAUGGGUGCGCACCUGGUUUGGCUGCGGCUUUCUUCCUGUAGCCGUCCGCGCUUAAUUGCGUGCGUUGUGUUACGGAACUUUUACUUUGAGAAAAAUAGAGUGUUUCAAGCAGGCUUGUCGCCCUGAAUACUUCAGCAUGGAAUAAUAGGAUAGGACCUUGGUUCUAUUUUGUUGGUUUCUAGGACCAAGGUAAUGAUUAAUAGGGACAGUUGGGGGCAUU
This 527-nucleotide ribosomal RNA is filed under the name Eimeria crandallis. RNAcentral describes it as "SSU rRNA". It matches the Rfam family "Eukaryotic small subunit ribosomal RNA", at positions 362 to 892 of the family's 1831-position model. The record is from RNAcentral. Lineage: Eukaryota; Apicomplexa; Conoidasida; Eucoccidiorida; Eimeriidae.